AUGCGUAGGAAGCUACCCGACAGAGGGGGAUACCAGUUGGAAACGACUGUUAAUACCGCAUAAUGUCUACGGACCAAAGUGUGGGACCUUCGGGCCACAUGCUGUCGGAUGCGCCUACGUGGGAUUAGCUAGUUGGUGAGGUAAUGGCUCACCAAGGCGACGAUCCCUAGCUGGUUUGAGAGGAUGAUCAGCCACACUGGAACUGAGACACGGUCCAGACUCCUACGGGAGGCAGCAGUGGGGAAUAUUGGACAAUGGGCGAAAGCCUGAUCCAGCCAUGCCGCGUGUGUGAAGAAGGCCUUCGGGUUGUAAAGCACUUUCAGUAGGGAGGAAGAGUUGAG
Molecule: ribosomal RNA, 341 nt
Filed under: Rheinheimera aquatica
Lineage: Bacteria; Pseudomonadati; Pseudomonadota; Gammaproteobacteria; Chromatiales; Chromatiaceae
Description: bacterial SSU rRNA
Rfam family: Bacterial small subunit ribosomal RNA
Source: RNAcentral